RNAcentral lists this ribosomal RNA (305 nucleotides) under Bacillus anthracis (anthrax bacterium). RNAcentral describes it as "bacterial SSU rRNA". It matches the Rfam family "Bacterial small subunit ribosomal RNA", at positions 7 to 300 of the family's 1533-position model. The record is from RNAcentral. Lineage: Bacteria; Bacillati; Bacillota; Bacilli; Caryophanales; Bacillaceae.
GAGAGUUUGAUCCUGGCUCAGGAUGAACGCUGGCGGCGUGCCUAAUACAUGCAAGUCGAGCGAAUGGAUUAAGAGCUUGCUCUUAUGAAGUUAGCGGCGGACGGGUGAGUAACACGUGGGUAACCUGCCCAUAAGACUGGGAUAACUCCGGGAAACCGGGGCUAAUACCGGAUAACAUUUUGAACCGCAUGGUUCGAAAUUGAAAGGUGGCUUCGGCUGUCACUUAUGGAUGGACCCGCGUCGCAUUAGCUAGUUGGUGAGGUAACGGCUCACCAAGGCAACGAUGCGUAGCCGACCUGAGAGGG